RNAcentral lists this ribosomal RNA (402 nucleotides) under uncultured bacterium. RNAcentral's name for it is "bacterial SSU rRNA". It matches the Rfam family "Bacterial small subunit ribosomal RNA", at positions 355 to 774 of the family's 1533-position model. The record is from RNAcentral.
UGGGGAAUAUUGGACAAUGGGCGCAAGCCUGAUCCAGCCAUGCCGCGUGAGUGAUGAAGGCCCUAGGGUUGUAAAGCUCUUUUGUGCGGGAAGAUAAUGACGGUACCGCAAGAAUAAGCCCCGGCUAACUUCGUGCCAGCAGCCGCGGUAAUACGAAGGGGGUUAGCGUUGCUCGGAAUCACUGGGCGUAAAGGGUGCGUAGGCGGGUCUUUAAGUCAGAGGUGAAAGCCUGGAGCUCAACUCCAGAACUGCCUUUGAUACUGAGGAUCUCGAGUUCGGGAGAGNUGAGUGGAACUGCGAGUGUAGAGGUGAAAUUCGUAGAUAUUCGCAAGAACACCAGUGGCGAAGGCGGCUCACUGGCCCGAUACUGACGCUGAGGCACGAAAGCGUGGGGAGCAAACA